UGUUUUCUGUUCAGCCAACUUGAAUCUCCGAAAUGUCUGAACAUCCUUGAACGCAACAAAACGUUUGUUGUUGUUGUUGUUUUUUAACAGACACCAGCGGACAUCGUGAUGAAAAUCUGCCCGACAAUCGUUGAGUGUAUCGGCAGUGUGAUGUCAUCCAACCCAGUGAUGUCAUCAGUCUUCUUCUUCCUCUUCUUCUUCUUCUUCUUUAGUUUUCAGAUCAAAUUUAAACUCCUGUGUGUGUGCAGGCGGGUGAAGUGAGGUGAAACGCCCCGUCUGACCUGCAGCUGCACAGAAAACAGCAGAAAUAUGCAGAUGGCGUCCCGCCGGCUCCAGCCAGCUCGGCUCUACGAGGGUCCGCAGCAGCGGUCGGGGCGAACAACGACGUUGUGUCAGAGUCAGCAGCCGGAGAUGAACUGGUAAACAGAGCGAUUCUGGAGAAUCAUUCAUCAUGUCCGCUGUGCUGGAGUUGGACCGCUGUUGGGCAGAAACAUUUGGAUGGAUGGAAGAUGGAAGAUGCACUUCCUGACCUAAAGUUGGCUGAACUGGAUCUGAGUCUGGUGCCAGAAGACAGCCGGGUGUGCCGACAAGUCAGCCGCCGUCAGCUGGGGAUUUCAUUUGUAUUUGUGUUUGUGUGUUAAUUCUCAUGUGAAUCUUUCGUAAUCUUUGAAGAUCCCACAACAAACUACGUCCAUAUUUCACCAAUAAACACACAAUGUAAUAUUUGUUCCUUCCCAGUAAUUUACAGUAUUUUUCUCCCAGUCUCUGAGGCUGCUGGUGGAAAUAAUAAAAUAAAGCUUUGAAUUUGCACGCCGGGUGACAAAAAUGCAUCAAAAGAGCACAAUCGCCCCCCCCCCCAGGGAGGAAUAUUUUCAGAAUAAAGUUGUGUCCUGCUUUAUGUAUCAGCUGUUUGCUUCGGCGCAGUAAAGACGAGUGAAUCACCGACUGUUUAUUGUGUCUUAAUGCACAUCAUGAAACACAGAUGUGAAGGCUGAAUGUGUAAAUCACAUG
Long non-coding RNA from Thunnus maccoyii (southern bluefin tuna), 1011 nucleotides. RefSeq lists it as uncharacterized. Lineage: Eukaryota; Metazoa; Chordata; Actinopteri; Scombriformes; Scombridae. The record is from RefSeq and is a predicted model, not a curated record. The transcript has 3 exons.